RNAcentral lists this ribosomal RNA (368 nucleotides) under uncultured organism. RNAcentral's name for it is "bacterial SSU rRNA". It matches the Rfam family "Bacterial small subunit ribosomal RNA", at positions 526 to 896 of the family's 1533-position model. The record is from RNAcentral.
CGGAGGGUGCAAGCGUUGUCCGGAUUUAUUGGGUUUAAAGGGUGCGUAGGCGGCCCGUUAAGUCAGUGGUGAAAGCCUCCAGCUCAACUGGAGAACUGCCAUUGAUACUGACGGGCUUGAGUACAGACGAGGUUGGCGGAAUUGAUUGUGUAGCGGUGAAAUGCAUAGAUACAAUCAAGAACUCCGAUUGCGUAGGCAGCUAACUAGGCUGUAACUGACGCUGAGGCACGAAAGCGUGGGGAGCGAACAGGAUUAGAUACCCUGGUAGUCCACGCUGUAAACGAUGAUUACUCGAUGUCGGCGAUAAACUGUCGGCGUCUUAGCGAAAGCGUUAAGUAAUCCACCUGGGGAGUACGCCCGCAAGGGUG